RNAcentral lists this transfer RNA (65 nucleotides) under Eupristina koningsbergeri. RNAcentral's name for it is "tRNA-Thr". The record is from RNAcentral. Lineage: Eukaryota; Metazoa; Arthropoda; Insecta; Hymenoptera; Agaonidae.
UAGUUAUUAAUUUAAUAAAAAUAUUAAUUUUGUAAAUUAAAAAUAAGUUAAUUACUUAUAACUAA